This is a non-coding RNA of Jatropha curcas, 89 nucleotides long. The record is from Rfam. Lineage: Eukaryota; Viridiplantae; Streptophyta; Magnoliopsida; Malpighiales; Euphorbiaceae.
UGCAGAAACAUCAUUGAGUGCAGCGUUGAUGAAUUCUCGGUUGGUUGGUCAAUUUGAUUUCACCAACGCUGCACUCAAUCAUGUUUUUA